Molecule: ribosomal RNA, 586 nt
Filed under: uncultured Alphaproteobacteria bacterium
Lineage: Bacteria; Pseudomonadati; Pseudomonadota; Alphaproteobacteria
Description: bacterial SSU rRNA
Rfam family: Bacterial small subunit ribosomal RNA
Source: RNAcentral
AAUUGGGCCCGACGUCGCAUGCUCCCGGCCGCCAUGGCGGCCGCGGGAAUUCGAUUAGAGUUUGAUCAUGGCUCAGAACGAACGCUGGCGGCAUGCCUAACACAUGCAAGUCGAACGAAGGCUUCGGCCUUAGUGGCGCACGGGUGCGUAACGCGUGGGAAUCUGCCCCUUGGUUCGGAAUAACAGUUAGAAAUGACUGCUAAUACCGGAUGACGACGUAAGUCCAAAGAUUUAUCGCCGAGGGAUGAGCCCGCGUAGGAUUAGCUAGUUGGUGUGGUAAAGGCGCACCAAGGCGACGAUCCUUAGCUGGUCUGAGAGGAUGAUCAGCCACACUGGGACUGAGACACGGCCCAGACUCCUACGGGAGGCAGCAGUGGGGAAUAUUGGACAAUGGGCGAAAGCCUGAUCCAGCAAUGCCGCGUGAGUGAUGAAGGCCUUAGGGUUGUAAAGCUCUUUUACCCGGGAUGAUAAUGACAGUACCGGGAGAAUAAGCUCCGGCUAACUCCGUGCCAGCAGCCGCGGUAAUACGAAUCACUAGUGAAUUCGCGGCCGCCUGCAGGUCGACCAUAUGGGAGAGCUCCCAACG